RNAcentral lists this ribosomal RNA (442 nucleotides) under uncultured Parabacteroides sp. RNAcentral describes it as "bacterial SSU rRNA". It matches the Rfam family "Bacterial small subunit ribosomal RNA", at positions 355 to 794 of the family's 1533-position model. The record is from RNAcentral. Lineage: Bacteria; Pseudomonadati; Bacteroidota; Bacteroidia; Bacteroidales; Tannerellaceae.
UGAGGAAUAUUGAUCAAUGGACGGAAGUCUGAACCAGCCAAGUCGCGUGAAGGAAGACGGUUCUAUGGAUUGUAAACUUCUUUUGCCUGAGGGUAAAACGCGGUACGUGUACCGCCUUGUAAGUAUCAGGUGAAUAAGCAUCGGCUAACUCCGUGCCAGCAGCCGCGGUAAUACGGAGGAUGCGAGCGUUAUCCGGAUUUAUUGGGUUUAAAGGGUGCGUAGGCGGGAUGUUAAGUCAGCGGUGAAAGUUUGUGGCUCAACCAUAAAAUUGCCGUUGAAACUGGAGGGCUUGAGUAUGUUUGGGGCAGGCGGAAUGUGUGGUGUAGCGGUGAAAUGCAUAGAUAUCACGCAGAACUCCGAUCGCGAAGGCAGCUUGCCAAGCCAUAACUGACACUGAAGCACGAAAGUGUGGGUAUCAAACAGGAUUAGAUACCCUGGUAGU